Long non-coding RNA from Gymnodraco acuticeps, 1173 nucleotides. RefSeq lists it as uncharacterized. The transcript is spliced from 4 exons. The record is from RefSeq and is a predicted model, not a curated record. NCBI's taxonomy places the organism in Eukaryota, Metazoa, Chordata, Actinopteri, Perciformes, Bathydraconidae.
CGCUCUCUUUUCCUUCACCCCCGGCAACCCGAGAACACAACCAUAGAGGCUUCUCAAUACUCAAAUGUCCCCUCCUCGACUCCUCGGUCCUCCGGUAGUGACCCGGAAAUGAAUUUCAGCGCGCCAUUUUGAAGGACAUCUCAUUUCUCGAAAUGCACACCGAGGAUCGAGCGUCGAGGAGGCUCUCUGGAGGAGCUAUAACCGAGGAUACACUGAUGGUUCCUCCACGGCUCCUCCGCGGAUGCAUUUCCGGGAACGGUGGAGUAUAAAAGAGGCGUGACACACCGCUGGAUUCAUUUAAAAACCAUGGCGGGAGCAAAGCACACGUGGACAGAGGAGGAAACACUGACCCUUAUUAAAGUGAGGGUCGAGAAUGACGAGCUUUUCACAGGCCGAAGGCACACUGCCAAGAAAGCCUGGGAGGAAAUUCUAAACAACAUCUGUCCAGGGACUACAGACGAAAAAUAGCCUGUUGGCUAACUCUGGCGCAUUUACAGAAAUGUCAAUCAAUGUGCACUGUCCCUGCCAAAUAAAUAUAUAAAUAAAUAAAUAAAUAAAGGCCCUUGGGCUAUUCGGUUCUGUAAGCCCCACACAGAUCAGCAAAAAGUGGGACAACUUGAAACGAAAAUACAAGGAGUUGAGAUGCCCCCCAACUGGGACAGGGACCGACAGGGGAGAGGCCACAGCAGCCACAUGGCCAUAUUUUACGGCCAUGCAUGAGGCCAUCGAUGGGAGGCCAUCCAUCGACCCUCCCACCCUGAUGGACUCGGCUGCUGUUGCUUCUGGCAGUGGCUCAACAUCCACUGAGGCUGUCCAGAGCCAGGCCACAGUGGAGGAUGAGGAGGCCGCCAAGUCUGGCUCGGACAGCCAGGAGGAUGUUGAGCCAUCCACCUCUGCCGGUCCCCCUCCCCGAAAAAAAAGAAAACGCAGUUUAUUGCAGUUCCUGGAGGCGGAGGCGGCCAACGAGGGGGACCGCUUCAACCGCCAGCAGGCAGCCAGUGAGGAAACCUCCAAAAGAUUCCUCGACUUAUUUGAAGCGUUAGUUCGAAAAGAAUAGUUUCCGUUCUUUGUUUUUCGUUUGGUUUGGAUUUGUUAUAUUGUUUUGUGUGAAGUUUAUGAAAAUAUUUAAGUUUGGAAUAAAAAUUAAGUUUGUCGUUAAAUCCAGAACAAAAA